AGGAUAAACGCUGGCGGCGUGCCUAACACAUGCAAGUCGAACGCGCUUUCGGGCUUCGGUGCGAGAGCGAGUGGCGGACGGGUGAGUAACACAUGGGUACCUGCCUUUCAGUGAGGGAUACCGGCGAGAAAUCGCCGACAAUACCGCAUGGGCUUGUGGGAACACAAGCAAAGUGGCGCAAGCCACGCUGGAAGAUGGGCCUGUGGCCGAUUAGCUAGUUGGGGGGGUAACGGCCUCCCAAGGCGACGAUCGGUAGCUGGUCUGAGAGGACGAUCAGCCACACUGGGAUUGAGAACGGCCCAGACUCCUACGGGGGGCAGCAGUGAGGAAUUUUCCGCAAUGGAGGCAACUCUGACGGAGCAACGCCGCGUGCAGGAGGAAGGUUUUCGGAUCGUAAACUGCUUUUCGUCGGGGACGAGCAAGGGACGGUACCCGAGGAAGAAGCCCUGGCUAACUACGUGCCAGCAGCCGCGUAAU
RNAcentral lists this ribosomal RNA (477 nucleotides) under uncultured bacterium. RNAcentral's name for it is "partial small subunit ribosomal RNA". It matches the Rfam family "Bacterial small subunit ribosomal RNA", at positions 26 to 524 of the family's 1533-position model. The record is from RNAcentral.